This is a small nuclear RNA of Gorilla gorilla gorilla (western lowland gorilla), 104 nucleotides long. Lineage: Eukaryota; Metazoa; Chordata; Mammalia; Primates; Hominidae. The record is from RefSeq and is a predicted model, not a curated record.
GUGCUUGCUUUGGCAGCACAUAUACUAAAAUUGGAACGAUACAGAGAUUAGCAUGGCCCCAGCGCAAGGAUGACACAAAGAUUCGUGAUGCAUUCCAUAUUCUU